RNAcentral lists this transfer RNA (63 nucleotides) under Scyllarides latus (Mediterranean slipper lobster). RNAcentral describes it as "tRNA-Asp". The record is from RNAcentral. Lineage: Eukaryota; Metazoa; Arthropoda; Malacostraca; Decapoda; Scyllaridae.
UAAAAAUUAGUUAAUGUAUAAUGUGGGCUUGUCAAGCCUAAGUUACCUCAGAGGUAUUUUUAG